AGAGAUGUGUGAUGACGCAUAUCAAUAAGCGGAGGAAAAGAAACUAACUAGGAUUCCCUUAGUAACGGCGAGUGAAGCGGGAAGAGCUCAAAUUUGAAAUCUUCAAGGGUUCUACCUUUACGAAUUGUAGUUUAUAGAAGUGUUUUCUGUUAGUGGAGUUCGGUAAAAGUUCUUUGGAAUAGGACAUCAUAGAGGGUGAGAAUCCCGUAUUUGACCAGUUACUUUCCAGCUGUUGUGAUACACUUUCAAAGAGUCGGAUUGUUUGGGAAUGCAGUCCAAAAUGGGUGGUAAAUUUCAUCUAAAGCUAAAUAUUGGCGAGAGACCGAUAGCGAACAAGUACCGUGAGGGAAAGAUGAAAAGAACUUUGAAAAGAGAGUUAAACAGUACGUGAAAUUGUCAAAAGGGAAGCGUUUGACACCAGUGUUGUUUAGUUCGAAAAUCAAUUCAAGAAUGUUUUGAUUUUGAGGAGUAUUGACUUUAUCAGGCUUGCUGCUUUCUUUCAUGAAAUUAUUAAUGCACUUUUCAGGUUAACAAGUCAACAUCAAUUUCUUUUGUCGUAAAAGGGUAUGAGGAAGGUGGCUUUCUUUUCGGAGAAAGUGUUUAUAGCCUUGUGCCUCUGCAAUCGGAGAGAUUGAGGUCUGCAGCGUAGAUCCUUCGGGGUUAGAUACAUUUGUGCUAAGUUAUAGCCUUUCAUAGACAACUUGUUGACUAUGAUCAGUCAUGUAGCUUACUCGCUUAUGCUAUUUUACCUACGCUUAGGAUGUUGAGUCGUAGAGCACGCAG
RNAcentral lists this ribosomal RNA (783 nucleotides) under uncultured Neocallimastigales. RNAcentral's name for it is "partial large subunit ribosomal RNA". It matches the Rfam family "Eukaryotic large subunit ribosomal RNA", at positions 23 to 630 of the family's 3401-position model. The record is from RNAcentral. Lineage: Eukaryota; Fungi; Neocallimastigomycota; Neocallimastigomycetes; Neocallimastigales.